CACCAGGGAGCGGGUUUGAAUUGGUGCAAAACACACCUGCAAAGCACUGUGCCUUGGAAAAAGCAAACCCUACAGUUAUGAUGCGGGGGAUGCUUGGCUCAGCAAUACCAUGAGCAAGAAGUCUCUUGGAAUCAUUGUAGAUCACAAGCUGAACAUGAGCCAACGGAGCAUUCUGUUUCCAUAGUGACCAACCAGAAGGCUUUACAAGAGACGGGGCCAGCAGGGCUAUUUGGCUUGGGCCUCACCUCACCAGGAGGAGACUCAUUUCACCCAAGGGGUACAUUCAUGAAAUAUAUAUCCACACAUGAGCUGAUUCUUCAUAGUAUUACAAACUGCAAAUAGCUCGCCGUUUUCUUCUGAAUUGGGCCCAACGAUUCUCCUCAUGGAAGAUUCCUUUAGCUGAGUUUUGAGGACAACAUCACAGCUCACACAUUCAGCUGACCUUCCCCGCCCUUUGCACUGCAUUUUCAGAAAGCUACAGCAGCUUCUAGGCAAAGGAAAAGGCAGGAAAGUUUACUUGUGCCACCCCUGUUGAAAAUACCCAAACAUAGAUCCAACUCAUUCGAAUCAUGGAACAGCCAGAGCUAAUGCUAC
Pogona vitticeps (central bearded dragon) is the source of this 594-nucleotide non-coding RNA. NCBI's taxonomy places the organism in Eukaryota, Metazoa, Chordata, Lepidosauria, Squamata, Agamidae. The record is from RefSeq and is a predicted model, not a curated record.